Molecule: ribosomal RNA, 441 nt
Filed under: uncultured bacterium
Lineage: Bacteria
Description: partial 16S ribosomal RNA
Rfam family: Bacterial small subunit ribosomal RNA
Source: RNAcentral
CCUACGGCGGGGCAGCAGUGGGGAAUAUUGCACAAUGGGGGAAACCCUGAUGCAGCGACGCCGCGUGAGUGAAGAAGUAUUCCGGUACGUAAAGCUCUUUCAGCAGGGAAGAAAAUGACGGUACCUGACUACGAAGCCCCGGCUCACUACGUGCCAGCAGCCGCGGUAAUCCGGAGGGGGCAAGCGUUAUCCGGAUUUACGGGGUGUAAAGGGAGCGUAGACGGCAGCACAAGUCUGGAGUGAAAUCCCGGGGCUUAACCCCGGAACUGCUGUGGAAACUGGGCGGCUGGAGUGCAGGAGGGGUAAGCGGAAUUCCUAGUGUAGCGGUGAAAUGCGUAGAUAUUAGGAGGAACACCGGUGGCGAAGGCGGCUUACUGGACUGUAACUGACGUUGAGGCUCGAAAGCGUGGGGAGCAAACAGGAUUAGAUACCCCUGUAGUC